RNAcentral lists this ribosomal RNA (433 nucleotides) under uncultured bacterium. Its description in RNAcentral is "partial 16S ribosomal RNA". It matches the Rfam family "Bacterial small subunit ribosomal RNA", at positions 29 to 507 of the family's 1533-position model. The record is from RNAcentral.
AACGAACGCUGGCGGCAUGCCUAACACAUGCAAGUCGAACGAGACCUUCGGGUCUAGUGGCGCACGGGUGCGUAACGCGUGGGAACCUGCCCUUAGGUUCGGAAUAACUCCCCGAAAGGGGUGCUAAUACCGGAUAAUGUCUUCGGACCAAAGAUUUAUCGCCUUUGGAUGGGCCCGCGUUGGAUUAGCUAGUUGGUAGGGUAAAAGCCUACCAAGGCGACGAUCCAUAGCUGGUCUGAGAGGAUGAUCAGCCACACUGGGACUGAGACACGGCCCAGACUCCUACGGGAGGCAGCAGUGGGGAAUAUUGGACAAGGGGCGAAAGCCUGAUCCAGCAAUGCCGGGUGAGUGAUGAAGGCCUUAGGGUUGUAAAGCUCUUUUACCCGGGAUGAUAAUGACAGUACCGGGAGAAUAAGCUCCGGCUAACUCCGUG